AAUCUUCCGCAAUGGACGAAAGUCUGACGGAGCAACGCCGCGUGAGUGAUGAAGGUCUNAGGAUCNUNAAACUCUGUUAUUAGUGNCGAAUAAGCAUAAACCGAAUAAGUUGGUGCCCUGAAGGUGCCUAAUAAGAAAGCCCCGGCGCACUACGUGCCAGCCGCGGCGGUAAUCCGUAGGGGGCAAGAGUUGUCCGGACGUAUUGGGCGGAAAGGUCUAGCAGGCGGUUUCUUAAGUCUUAUGUUAAAUAUUGUGGCUUAAACACAAGCGGUCAUUGGAAACGGGGGGACUUGAGUGCAGAAGAGGAGAGUGAAUGUCCACGUCUAGCGGUGAAAUGCGUAGAGAUGAGGAGGAACACUAGUGGCGAAGGCGACUCUCUGGUCUGUAACUGACGCUGAGGAGCGAAAGCGUGGGGAGCGAACA
This 423-nucleotide ribosomal RNA is filed under the name uncultured bacterium. RNAcentral describes it as "partial 16S ribosomal RNA". It matches the Rfam family "Bacterial small subunit ribosomal RNA", at positions 360 to 774 of the family's 1533-position model. The record is from RNAcentral.